AGUAAAUAGAUACCCAGGUAGUCCACGCCGUAAACGAUGAAUACUAGGUGUGGGGGUUGUCAUGACCUCCGUGCCGCCGCUAAACGCAUUAAGUAUUCCGCCUGGGGAGUACGGUCGCAAGAUUAAAACUCAAAGGAAUUGACGGGGGCCCGCACAAGCAGCGGAGCAUGUGGUUUAAAUUCGAAGCAACGCGAAGAACCUUACCUAGACUUGACAUCUCCUGAAUUACUCUGUAAUGGAGGAAGCCCUUCGGGGCAGGAAGACAGGUGGUGCAUGGUUGUCGUCAGCUCGUGUCGUGAGAUGUUGGGUUAAGUCCCGCAACGAGCGCAACCCUUAUUGUUAGUUGCUACCAUUUAGUUGAGCACUCUAGCGAGACUGCCCGGGUUAACCGGGAGGAAGGUGGGGAUGACGUCAAAUCAUCAUGCCCCUUAUGUCUAGGGCUACACACGUGCUACAAUGGCUGGUACAGAGAGAUGCAAUACCGUGAGUGGAGCCAAACUUCAAAACCAGUCUCAGUUCGGAUUGUAGGCUGAAACUCGCC
This 541-nucleotide ribosomal RNA is filed under the name uncultured bacterium. RNAcentral describes it as "bacterial SSU rRNA". It matches the Rfam family "Bacterial small subunit ribosomal RNA", at positions 774 to 1316 of the family's 1533-position model. The record is from RNAcentral.